AUCAGUCCAUACUAAUUCCCCAAACACAUAACCUUCUUGCUUUCCCUUUCCACUUCUAUUCAACAACACCUUGAAGCUUUUCUCUUCAUCCAUAGCAGUAAAAUCUAAUAUUCUUGGCUCAACAAUGAUUGAAACUUCCAAUGGCGUCUUCACUCUAGCAACGUAUGUCCCUGGACUUCCCACAUUCUUCAAUUUUCGAUUGAUCGCCACAGGACCCAUUUUCAGAUUUGUAACUGAGAUUGAUGGAUUUAAUAGCUGCUGGACUCCAUUUGGGGUUUAGGGUUUUGAGAAGGCCUACAAUGCCAGCAAUAUGGGGGCAGGCCAUGGAUGUGCCAGAAUCUACUUUAAAAGGAGAUUGACGAUCGUCCAAUGGUGCUUCUGUCAAUGGUAUGCCGUCGGGGACCACAAAAUUGGUGAAACCUCUAUCAAUAGUACUAGCUCCAACAGUUAGAAUCCAUGGCGACACAUUUGAUACAGUCCCAGGAGUUGGUCCCACGUUCCCAGCAGAGGAAACAACAACAAUACCUCGCUCAACUGCAUGGAAUGCCCCUACAGAGAGUGCAUCACUAAAGAACUCUUUGGGCUCUCCACCAACAGAAAUCGAGAUAACAUCAACGCCAUCCUCAAUUGCAGCUUCAAAGGCAGCUAAGGUAUUUGGGUCCACACACUCGUUGGUUUCGUCUGGCCAACAAACCUUAUAGGACGCAACACGGGCUCUAGGGGAGCCACCUUUGACAGUACCAUUGCCCAUGCCCAAAACAUUAGCACCAGGUACAAAAUUGCCACCAGCUAUGGAUAAAGUGUGGGUUCCAUGCCCUACAUUGUCUCUUGAAGAAUUGAAGGUAUCAGUAAGUUCACCAUAGCCUAUGUUGAAGAAUCUUGCUCCAAUCAAUUUUCUGCAUUUAAGGUAGCCAUUUUGAAUUAACUACCAUAAUAGAAAUAGAAGAAAAAAAACUGAUGUAGGAUAUGAAUCUCUUGACCUAUUACAACGAAACUUGGGGUCGGCAUCACUUUGACAAGUUCCCAUCCACCUUGGGGGGAUAGGUCCAUAGCCUUCAUCACUAAAGCUCUUAGAUUCUGGCCAAACACCUAUAAUCCCAAUUACAUGAACAGUGUUAGGGGCCGUUUGUUUUUCGGAAGGCAUAUAACCAAACGUUCAUAUGUCGGGAAUUACAUAUGUUCUGUAUCCUUUAUAACCAUGUUUGUUUGUUGAAAUUACAUAACAUGUUUAAUAUAGUUUUAUUAUUUUA
This is a long non-coding RNA of Cucumis sativus (cucumber), 1250 nucleotides long. RefSeq lists it as uncharacterized. The record is from RefSeq and is a predicted model, not a curated record. NCBI's taxonomy places the organism in Eukaryota, Viridiplantae, Streptophyta, Magnoliopsida, Cucurbitales, Cucurbitaceae. The transcript is spliced from 3 exons.